GAUGAACGCUGGCGGCGUGCUUAAUACAUGCAAGUCGAACGGUCCGCAAGGAUAGUGGCGAACGGGUGAGUAACGCGUUGGUGACCUGCCCUGGAGAGGGGGAUAACAGAUCGAAAGAUCUGCUAAUACCGCAUGAACUCUUACUAGUUAGAGAGGUAAGAGGAAAGCCGAAAGGCGCUCCAGGAGGGACCUGCGUCCCAUCAGCUAGUUGGUGAGGUAGAGGCUCACCAAGGCGAUGACGGGUAGGGACCUGAGAGGGUGGACCCCCCACAAUGGAACUGAAACACGGUCCAUACACCUACGGUGGCAGCAGUAGGGAUAUUGGUUAAUGGGGCGAAAGCCUAGACCCAGCAACGCCGA
This 360-nucleotide ribosomal RNA is filed under the name uncultured bacterium. RNAcentral describes it as "bacterial SSU rRNA". It matches the Rfam family "Bacterial small subunit ribosomal RNA", at positions 28 to 400 of the family's 1533-position model. The record is from RNAcentral.